GUAGGGAAUAUUGGGCAAUGGUCGGAAGACUGACCCAGCCAUGCCGCGUGCAGGAAGACGGCCCUCUGGGUUGUAAACUGCUUUUAUCUGGGAAGAAAAAGGCCAUGCGUGGCAAAUUGCCGGUACCAGAUGAAUAAGCACCGGCUAACUCCGUGCCAGCAGCCGCGGUAAUACGGAGGGUGCGAGCGUUGUCCGGAUUGAUUGGGUUUAAAGGGUGCGUAGGCGGCUGAUUAAGUCAGCGGUGAAAGACUUCGGCUUAACCGGAGCAGUGCCGUUGAUACUGGUUGGCUUGAGUGUCGGAGGGGUACAUGGAAUUGAUGGUGUAGCGGUGAAAUGCAUAGAUACCAUCAGGAACACCGAUAGCGAAGGCAUUGUACUGGCCGACAACUGACGCUGAUGCACGAAAGUGUGGGGAUCGAACAGGAUUAGAUACCCUUGUAGUCC
Molecule: ribosomal RNA, 444 nt
Filed under: uncultured bacterium
Lineage: Bacteria
Description: partial 16S ribosomal RNA
Rfam family: Bacterial small subunit ribosomal RNA
Source: RNAcentral